GGGGAGAAAAGUGCUCCAUAGACCCUUUGUAUUUCCGGUGCGAGUGUAAAGCAUUCAAAGGGAAAUCGAGUCUGCAUUGGCCGUGUUAACGUGUACAUGUGCUAGAGUGGUGAUGAGCUCAUGAAAGGCUACUACCGUUGUCUAUGUUAGCUGGUUAUUGUGAAUGUGGGGAAAAAGAGGCACACUCAUUUUGUUGUGAGAUCAAACUUUAUUGUUCUCAAUGGCCGUAUUUAAGUUGUAAUCUUUCUGUCCCGAUCCCCCAAAAUUUGCAUACUUAAUGCUGCGCUGUUCCAAGUGCAGUCUGGAAUAAA
This is a long non-coding RNA of Sinocyclocheilus grahami, 311 nucleotides long. RefSeq lists it as uncharacterized. Lineage: Eukaryota; Metazoa; Chordata; Actinopteri; Cypriniformes; Cyprinidae. The record is from RefSeq and is a predicted model, not a curated record. The transcript has 3 exons.